UUUGGUUUCUCUCGUCUCUCUCAAAUGCUCUCAGCCUCUGAACCCUAAUUGCCUCCUAUCCCUUCUUCAACCUCAAAUCACCGGAAUCCAUGGCUGAUCUAGCCAUAAACGACCUCUACCCACCAUCUACUGCUUCCACACACCUGCUCACUAAUGAUUAGAGUCUAGACCUCGAAGGUCUUCAUCCAGACCUUCGUCGAUGCGAGACUCUUUGGUCGUUUCUGGACUUGCUCAGGCGUCCCUUAGCCUCCUGAGCUUGGAUUCGACUUUAACAACUCAGAUCUGCUCUCGUAACUUCCAAGCCUUUCUCGGCCUUUAGGGUUCUCGAAAACCCUAGCCUAUUUGAGGUUCCUUUUCAUUUUAUUCUUCAUAUCUGUGCUAGAUCUAUGCUGUUUAUGACGUUUUAGAGCUUUUCCCCAAUUUUCAUUUUUCAAAAUUGUUCGAAUCCGAUUUAGGGUUUCUAGAAAUUUUUUCUUUAAAGGUGUUUUGAUUCUUUUUUCCCUCUUACGUAUGUUUAUACUUGUCUGUUUAUUUCUUUAGUUUGUUCUCUCUGAUCUUUGUUCACAUGAUAGCCUAGGGUUGAUUCUCAUUCUUUGCUACAUGUAUUCAAACUCAUGCUUUAAUUUUGGUUAUGAGUUCUGUUGAACUCGUAGUCUCUGAAUUCUUGCUUGUGUAUGUCUGUCUAUCUUCGUGGUUUCAAAUGGCUUCUCAUCUCUGAUUCUAGGACAAACCCUAAAUUUUGGCAUUUUUUUCCUUCGAGUAAAGGGCAUUAGGGUUUCACUCUAAAACCCUAGGUUUACAAGUUCAC
This 808-nucleotide long non-coding RNA is filed under the name Nicotiana benthamiana. Its description in RNAcentral is "long non-coding RNA (NBEN_LNC020452)". Lineage: Eukaryota; Viridiplantae; Streptophyta; Magnoliopsida; Solanales; Solanaceae. The record is from RNAcentral.